RNAcentral lists this microRNA precursor (62 nucleotides) under Cordylochernes scorpioides. The record is from RNAcentral. Lineage: Eukaryota; Metazoa; Arthropoda; Arachnida; Pseudoscorpiones; Chernetidae.
GGUAGGCUGGUGACGAGGAGAGGGUUUUACCACCAACGCUUCUUUGGUGCCCUCAGCCUGCC